RNAcentral lists this ribosomal RNA (845 nucleotides) under uncultured bacterium. Its description in RNAcentral is "bacterial SSU rRNA". It matches the Rfam family "Bacterial small subunit ribosomal RNA", at positions 8 to 858 of the family's 1533-position model. The record is from RNAcentral.
AGAGUUUGAUCCUGGCUCAGGACUAACGCUGGCGGCGUGCCUAAUACAUGCAAGUCGAACGGUCGUGCGUUUGUAGCAAUAUGGACGUACGAUAGUGGCGAACGGGUGAGUAACACGUGGAAAACCUACCCUCGAGCGGGGGAUAACUCCGGGAAACUGGGGCUAAUACCGCAUGACAUCCCAACCUGGCAUCGGGAGGGGAUCAAAGCCGAAAGGCACUUGAGGAUGGUUCCGCGGCCUAUCAGCUAGUUGGCGGGGUAACGGCCCACCAAGGCGACGACGGGUAGCCGGCCUGAGAGGGCGAUCAGCCACAAGGGGACUGAGACACGGCCCCUACUUCUACGGGAGGCAGCAGUAGGGAAUUUUGCUCAAUGGGGGAAACCCUGAAGCAGCGACGCCGCGUGGGCGACGAAAUCCUUCGGGAUGUAAAGCCCUUUUAACCGGGACGAAAUACAUGACGGUACCGGUGGAAUAAGCCUCGGCUAACUCCGUGCCAGCAGCCGCGGUAAGACGGGGGAGGCAAGCGUUGUCCGGAAUCACUGGGUGUAAAGGGCGUGUAGGCGGGCCGGCUAGUCGGUUGUUAAAUCUCUCCGCUCAACGGAGAAGCUGCGGCCGAUACUUCCGGUCUUGAGUGCGGCAGGGGAGGAUGGAAUUCCUGGUGUAGCGGUGAAAUGCGUAGAUAUCAGGAGGAACACCGGUGGCGAAGGCGGUCCUCUGGGCCUGCACUGACGCUGAGUGCGCGAAAGCUGGGGUAGCAAACAGAAUUAGAUACUCUGGUAGUCCCAGCCCUAAACGAUGGGUACUAGGUGUUCCCCCCUUUAAGGGGUGAGUGCCGCCGCUAACGC